AUUGAACGCUGGCGGCAAGCCUAACACAUGCAAGUCGAACGAGUGGCGGACGGGUGAGUAAUGUCUGGGAAACUGCCUGAUGGAGGGGGAUAACUACUGGAAACGGUAGCUAAUACCGCAUACCAUCGGAUGUGCCCAGAUGGGAUUAGCUAGUAGGUGGGGUAAAGGCUCACCUAGGCGACGAUCCCUAGCUGGUUUGAGAGGAUGACCGGCCACAUUGGAACUGAGACACGGUCCAGACGCCUACGGGAGGCAGCAGUGGGGAAUAUUGCACAAUGGGCGCAAGCCUGAUGCAGCCAUGCCGCGUGUAUGAAGAAGGCCUUCGGGUUGUAAAGUACUGUCAGCGGGGAGGCGUUACCCGCAGAAGAAGCACCGGCUAACUCCGUGCCAGCAGCCGCGGUAAUUC
This 406-nucleotide ribosomal RNA is filed under the name uncultured bacterium. RNAcentral describes it as "partial 16S ribosomal RNA". It matches the Rfam family "Bacterial small subunit ribosomal RNA", at positions 30 to 526 of the family's 1533-position model. The record is from RNAcentral.